This 344-nucleotide long non-coding RNA is filed under the name Hordeum vulgare. RNAcentral describes it as "long non-coding RNA (HVUL_LNC019407)". Lineage: Eukaryota; Viridiplantae; Streptophyta; Magnoliopsida; Poales; Poaceae. The record is from RNAcentral.
UCCGGUCGUAUCCCUGGGGGCGCUCUCAUAGUCGCAACAGAGGAUUGAAAACUCAUUCAUGCUUGUACUGACGAGCUAUAGGUCCGCACGCAUGUAAUUGCUCUCUCCUCUACAAGAUCGAAUCAACGAGCACAUAACAAAAGGGUAGGUUCACAGAAGCUUCGUCGGUGCACUGCAGGUGCUUGGACACCGAGAUGCUCGAGUGCCUAGAUGGAAAAUCAGCCAUCAAAAUAUGGAUUGCAGUUCACUAUUUUUGGGUGUUUGUCUUGUGGAUGGAAAAUUCAAAUAUACAGUGCAGUUCAUUGUUGUCAGCUGUUGUGAUUCAGUGUACUUCCUUUUUGCAG